UACGUAGGGUGCAAGCGUUGUCCGGAAUUAUUGGGCGUAAAGAGCUCGUAGGCGGUCUGUCGCGUCGGCUGUGAAAUCCCGAGGCUCAACCUCGGGUCUGCAGUCGAUACGGGCAAACUAGAGUAUUGCAGGGGAGACUGGAAUUCCUGGUGUAGCGGUGAAAUGCGCAGAUAUCAGGAGGAACACCGGUGGCGAAGGCGGGUCUCUGGGCCAUUACUGACACUGAGAAGCGAAAGCAUGGGGAGCGAACAGG
This 253-nucleotide ribosomal RNA is filed under the name uncultured bacterium. RNAcentral describes it as "partial 16S ribosomal RNA". It matches the Rfam family "Bacterial small subunit ribosomal RNA", at positions 524 to 776 of the family's 1533-position model. The record is from RNAcentral.